This 432-nucleotide ribosomal RNA is filed under the name uncultured bacterium. RNAcentral describes it as "partial 16S ribosomal RNA". The record is from RNAcentral.
CUUCCCCCGCACGGCGCGUUUCAGCCUUCUCAGACUUGCGNGCGGUUGGUUCUUCCACGCUCUCCACCCCUGGGCCGUCGUCUUUCCCAGCCUUCUGCUCGCGCGCUGGCUCAGCUGCCUGCGUCGGCGGCGGGUGCUCCGUGGGUCCGACCCCAUCACAGCACUCGGAGACAUCACACUCCGAGGCACACACCGGGGACUCCACAUCACCGGACAUCACACCAUUUUGACCACUGACCAUGGAUCGACUGACACACAUCUGACACACAGGACGGGACUNUCCCGAGACUUGAUCCCCACUAUCCAUUCGAGACAUUGAAGCACCCCCGNACGNAAUNCAGACACCAUUAUACCAAACCUUCNCAAAUCAUAGANGAUGGCCAAGGGAUUCAANAACCCGGAGAACUUCCCAACCCCAAAAGGGAACCACAA